Molecule: ribosomal RNA, 460 nt
Filed under: uncultured bacterium
Lineage: Bacteria
Description: partial 16S ribosomal RNA
Rfam family: Bacterial small subunit ribosomal RNA
Source: RNAcentral
CCUACGGGUGGCAGCAGUGAGGAAUAUUGGUCAAUGGGCGAGAGCCUGAACCAGCCAAGUCGCGUGAAGGAUGACGGCCCUACGGGUUGUAAACUUCUUUUGUCAGGGAGCAAUUGGGUCCACGCGUGGGCUUAGCGAGAGUACCUGAAGAAAAAGCAUCGGCUAACUCCGUGCCAGCAGCCGCGGUAAUAAGGAGGAUGCGAGCGUUAUCCGGAUUUAUGGGGGUUAAAGGGUGCGUAGGCGGAAUAUCAAGUCAGCGGUAAAAAUUCGGGGCUAAACCCCGUCGUGCCGUUGAAACUGGUGUUCUUGAGUGGGCGAGAGGUAGGUGGAAUGCGUGGUGUAGGGGUGAAAUGCGUAGAUAUCACGAAGAACACCGAUUGCGAAGGCGACAGACCGGCGCACAACUGACGCUGAAGCACGAAAGCGUGGGUAUCGAACAGGAUUAGAUACCCGAGUAGUC